UGUACAAAAAUGCUACUAGAUGCAGAUUUCAUACUUCCUAGGACUGUAUUGAACCUUAGGCUCUGAUACCAAGUUUGUAAUGCCCUAAAUCAAGUACCCGAAAUGCUACACGGUUCUCAUAACUCCAAAGUACCACAAGCUAACCCAUGAUUAAUAUAUGUACCUGAACACUGUAAAAUAUAUUGUAUAAUGUGGAAAUAAAGGCUGAAAGGCCAUAAGGUUCAAAACUAUAACAUAACUAAUAAAACAUAACAUCUGGAUGGGGUAUGAAAUACCUAAAAAUCUUAAAUAAACUAUCUAAACAUAGUAGU
This 311-nucleotide long non-coding RNA is filed under the name Capsicum annuum. Its description in RNAcentral is "long non-coding RNA (CANN_LNC009956)". The record is from RNAcentral. Lineage: Eukaryota; Viridiplantae; Streptophyta; Magnoliopsida; Solanales; Solanaceae.